This 396-nucleotide ribosomal RNA is filed under the name uncultured bacterium. RNAcentral describes it as "bacterial SSU rRNA". It matches the Rfam family "Bacterial small subunit ribosomal RNA", at positions 30 to 426 of the family's 1533-position model. The record is from RNAcentral.
AUUGAACGCUGGCGGCAGGCCUAACACAUGCAAGUCGAGCGGAUGAGUGGAGCUUGCUCCAUGAUUCAGCGGCGGACGGGUGAGUAAUGCCUAGGAAUCUGCCUGGUAGUGGGGGACAACGUUUCGAAAGGAACGCUAAUACCGCAUACGUCCUACGGGAGAAAGCAGGGGACCUUCGGGCCUUGCGCUAUCAGAUGAGCCUAGGUCGGAUUAGCUAGUAGGUGAGGUAAUGGCUCACCUAGGCGACGAUCCGUAACUGGUCUGAGAGGAUGAUCAGUCACACUGGAACUGAGACACGGUCCAGACUCCUACGGGAGGCAGCAGUGGGGAAUAUUGGACAAGUGGNGAAAGCCUGAUCCAGCCAUGCCGCGUGUGUGAAGAAGGUCUUCGGAUUGU